RNAcentral lists this unclassified non-coding RNA (385 nucleotides) under uncultured Phycisphaeraceae bacterium. Its description in RNAcentral is "contains 16S-23S intergenic spacer region". Lineage: Bacteria; Pseudomonadati; Planctomycetota; Phycisphaerae; Phycisphaerales; Phycisphaeraceae. The record is from RNAcentral.
UCCGGUUUGACACCGGCAGUCCCGUUAGAGUCCUCAGCAUUACCUGUUAGCAACUAACGGUAGGGGUUUCGCUCGUUAAGGGACUUAACCCGACACUUCACAGCACGAGCUGACGACAGCCAUGCAGCACCUGUGCAUGUUCCACGGCAAGCCGCGUCACCCCUGUUUCCAGGAGCUAAUCCAUGCAUGUCAAACCCUGGUAAGGUUCUUCGCGUUGCUUCGAAUUAAGCCACAUGCUCCACCGCUUGUGUGAGCCCCCGUCAAUUCCUUUGAGUUUUAGCCUUGCGACCGUACUCCCCAGGCGGUGCACUUAUCAUUUUAACUUCGGCCCCGAUGGAGUCAGAUCCUCCGAGACCUAGUGCACAUCGUUUACGGCGUGGACUAC